UACGUAGGGGGCAAGCGUUGUCCGGAAUCAUUGGGCGUAAAGAGCGUGUAGGCGGCUUGGUAAGUCUGCUGUGAAAGUCCAGGGCUCAACCCUGGGAUGCCGGUGGAUACUGUCAAGCUCGAGUCCGGAAGAGGCGAGUGGAAUUCCUGGUGUAGCGGUGAAAUGCGCAGAUAUCAGGAGGAACACCAAUGGCGAAGGCAGCUCGCUGGGACGUGACUGACGCUGAGACGCGAAAGCGUGGGGAGCAAACAG
This 252-nucleotide ribosomal RNA is filed under the name uncultured bacterium. RNAcentral describes it as "partial 16S ribosomal RNA". It matches the Rfam family "Bacterial small subunit ribosomal RNA", at positions 524 to 775 of the family's 1533-position model. The record is from RNAcentral.